Molecule: ribosomal RNA, 2899 nt
Filed under: Klebsiella pneumoniae
Lineage: Bacteria; Pseudomonadati; Pseudomonadota; Gammaproteobacteria; Enterobacterales; Enterobacteriaceae
Description: 23S ribosomal RNA
Source: RNAcentral
UUAAGCGACUAAGCGUACACGGUGGAUGCCCUGGCAGUCAGAGGCGAUGAAGGACGUGCUAAUCUGCGAAAAGCGUCGGUAAGGUGAUAUGAACCGUUAUAACCGGCGAUGUCCGAAUGGGGAAACCCAGUGCAAUUCGUUGCACUAUCGUUAACUGAAUACAUAGGUUAACGAGGCGAACCGGGGGAACUGAAACAUCUAAGUACCCCGAGGAAAAGAAAUCAACCGAGAUUCCCCCAGUAGCGGCGAGCGAACGGGGAGCAGCCCAGAGUCUGAAUCAGCUUGUGUGUUAGUGGAACGGUCUGGAAAGUCCGACGGUACAGGGUGAUAGUCCCGUACACCAAAAUGCACAGGYUGUGAACUCGAAGAGUAGGGCGGGACACGUGGUAUCCUGUCUGAAUAUGGGGGGACCAUCCUCCAAGGCUAAAUACUCCUGACUGACCGAUAGUGAACCAGUACCGUGAGGGAAAGGCGAAAAGAACCCCGGCGAGGGGAGUGAAAAAGAACCUGAAACCGUGUACGUACAAGCAGUGGGAGCACCUUCGGGUGUGACUGCGUACCUUUUGUAUAAUGGGUCAGCGACUUAUAUUCUGUAGCAAGGUUAACCGUAUAGGGGAGCCGCAGGGAAACCGAGUCUUAACUGGGCGUUAAGUUGCAGGGUAUAGACCCGAAACCCGGUGAUCUAGCCAUGGGCAGGUUGAAGGUUGGGUAACACUAACUGGAGGACCGAACCGACUAAUGUUGAAAAAUUAGCGGAUGACUUGUGGCUGGGGGUGAAAGGCCAAUCAAACCGGGAGAUAGCUGGUUCUCCCCGAAAGCUAUUUAGGUAGCGCCUCGUGAAUUCAUCUUCGGGGGUAGAGCACUGUUUCGGCUAGGGGGUCAUCCCGACUUACCAACCCGAUGCAAACUACGAAUACCGAAGAAUGUUAUCACGGGAGACACACGGCGGGUGCUAACGUCCGUCGUGAAGAGGGAAACAACCCAGACCGCCAGCUAAGGUCCCAAAGUCAUGGUUAAGUGGGAAACGAUGUGGGAAGGCACAGACAGCCAGGAUGUUGGCUUAGAAGCAGCCAUCAUUUAAAGAAAGCGUAAUAGCUCACUGGUCGAGUCGGCCUGCGCGGAAGAUGUAACGGGGCUAAACCAUGCACCGAAGCUGCGGCAGCGACACUAUGUGUUGUUGGGUAGGGGAGCGUUCUGUAAGCCUGCGAAGGUGACCUGUGAGGGUUGCUGGAGGUAUCAGAAGUGCGAAUGCUGACAUAAGUAACGAUAAAGCGGGUGAAAAGCCCGCUCGCCGGAAGACCAAGGGUUCCUGUCCAACGUUAAUCGGGGCAGGGUGAGUCGACCCCUAAGGCGAGGCCGAAAGGCGUAGUCGAUGGGAAACAGGUUAAUAUUCCUGUACUUGGUGUUACUGCGAAGGGGGGACGGAGAAGGCUAUGUUAGCCGGGCGACGGUUGUCCCGGUUUAAGCAUGUAGGCUGGUURUCCAGGCAAAUCCGGAUAAUCAAGGCUGAGGUGUGAUGACGAGGCACUACGGUGCUGAAGUAACAAAUGCCCUGCUUCCAGGAAAAGCCUCUAAGCAUCAGGUAACAUYAAAUCGUACCCCAAACCGACACAGGUGGUCAGGUAGAGAAUACCAAGGCGCUUGAGAGAACUCGGGUGAAGGAACUAGGCAAAAUGGUGCCGUAACUUCGGGAGAAGGCACGCUGGUGUGUAGGUGAAGYCCCUGCGGRUGGAGCUGAGACCAGUCGAAGAUACCAGCUGGCUGCAACUGUUUAUUAAAAACACAGCACUGUGCAAACACGAAAGUGGACGUAUACGGUGUGACGCCUGCCCGGUGCCGGAAGGUUAAUUGAUGGGGUUAUCCGUAAGGAGAAGCUCUUGAUCGAAGCCCCGGUAAACGGCGGCCGUAACUAUAACGGUCCUAAGGUAGCGAAAUUCCUUGUCGGGUAAGUUCCGACCUGCACGAAUGGCGUAAUGAUGGCCAGGCUGUCUCCACCCGAGACUCAGUGAAAUUGAACUCGCUGUGAAGAUGCAGUGUACCCGCGGCAAGACGGAAAGACCCCGUGAACCUUUACUAUAGCUUGACACUGAACAUUGAGCCUUGAUGUGUAGGAUAGGUGGGAGGCUUUGAAGCGUGGACGCCAGUCUGCGUGGAGCCAACCUUGAAAUACCACCCUUUAAUGUUUGAUGUUCUAACGUUGGCCCCUKACCGGGGUUGCGGACAGUGUCUGGUGGGUAGUUUGACUGGGGCGGUCUCCUCCCAAAGCGUAACGGAGGAGCACGAAGGUUAGCUAAUCCUGGUCGGACAUCAGGAGGUUAGUGCAAUGGCAUAAGCUAGCUUGACUGCGAGCGUGACGGCGCGAGCAGGUGCGAAAGCAGGUCAUAGUGAUCCGGUGGUUCUGAAUGGAAGGGCCAUCGCUCAACGGAUAAAAGGUACUCCGGGGAUAACAGGCUGAUACCGCCCAAGAGUUCAUAUCGACGGCGGUGUUUGGCACCUCGAUGUCGGCUCAUCACAUCCUGGGGCUGAAGUAGGUCCCAAGGGUAUGGCUGUUCGCCAUUUAAAGUGGUACGCGAGCUGGGUUUAGAACGUCGUGAGACAGUUCGGUCCCUAUCUGCCGUGGGCGCUGGAGAAUUGAGGGGGGCUGCUCCUAGUACGAGAGGACCGGAGUGGACGCAUCACUGGUGUUCGGGUUGUCAUGCCAAUGGCACUGCCCGGUAGCUAAAUGCGGAAGAGAUAAGUGCUGAAAGCAUCUAAGCACGAAACUUGCCCCGAGAUGAGUUCUCCCUGAGACUUUAAGUCUCCUGAAGGAACGUUAAAGACGAUGACGUUGAUAGGCCGGGUGUGUAAGCGCAGCGAUGCGUUGAGCUAACCGGUACUAAUGAACCGUGAGGCUUAACCU